This 226-nucleotide unclassified non-coding RNA is filed under the name Hevea brasiliensis (rubber tree). The record is from RNAcentral. Lineage: Eukaryota; Viridiplantae; Streptophyta; Magnoliopsida; Malpighiales; Euphorbiaceae.
AUAUCUAAACCACGAACUCCAAGGAAGAAAUAUCGAUAGGCUGCACCCACCAACAUAUACCCACCAAAAAGGCAUAAGAUAAUGAUUACUAAGGUACCAAACCAGCCCCAUCCUUUCCCAUGAACAGAUACAACUAUGGCACAACCUGAAGGAUGUUGUAGUACUGCUGCAUAAUCACAGGUCCCUAAUUUCUCCAGUGAAUGUGGCCCUUGAACACCAUUUGAAU